Molecule: ribosomal RNA, 496 nt
Filed under: uncultured bacterium
Lineage: Bacteria
Description: partial 16S ribosomal RNA
Rfam family: Bacterial small subunit ribosomal RNA
Source: RNAcentral
AUGAACGCUGGCGGCGUGCCUAAUACAUGCAAGUCGAGCGAACAGACGAGGAGCUUGCUCCUCUGACGUUAGCGGCGGACGGGUGAGUAACCCGUGGAUAACCUACCUAUAAGACUGGGAUAACUUCGGGAAACCGGAGCUAAUACCGGAUAAUAUAUUGAACCGCAUGGUUCAAUAGUGAAAGACGGUUUUGCUGUCACUUAUAGAUGGAUCCGCGCCGCAUUAGCUAGUUGGUAAGGUAACGGCUUACCAAGGCAACGAUGCGUAGCCGACCUGAGAGGGUGAUCGGCCACACUGGAACUGAGACACGGUCCAGACGCCUACGGGAGGCAGCAGUAGGGAAUCUUCCGCAAUGGGCGAAAGCCUGACGGAGCAACGCCGCGUGAGUGAUGAAGGUCUUCGGAUCGUAAAACUCUGUUAUUAGGGAAGAACAAAUGUGUAAGUAACUAUGCACGUCUUGACGGUACCUAAUCAGAAAGCCACGGCUAACUACGUG